CCCUCUGUAGCUCAGCGGUAGAGCCGGCGACUCAUAAUCGCCUGGUCGGAUGUUCGAUUCAUCCCGGAGGGACCA
This 75-nucleotide transfer RNA is filed under the name Terriglobia bacterium. Its description in RNAcentral is "tRNA-Ile". It matches the Rfam family "tRNA". From Rfam's summary of the family: Transfer RNA (tRNA) molecules are approximately 80 nucleotides in length. Their secondary structure includes four short double-helical elements and three loops (D, anti-codon, and T loops). Further hydrogen bonds mediate the characteristic L-shaped molecular structure. tRNAs have two regions of fundamental functional importance: the anti-codon, which is responsible for specific mRNA codon recognition, and the 3' end, to which the tRNAs corresponding amino acid is attached (by aminoacyl-tRNA synthetases). tRNAs cope with the degeneracy of the genetic code in two manners: having more than one tRNA (with a specific anti-codon) for a particular amino acid; and 'wobble' base-pairing, i.e. permitting non-standard base-pairing at the 3rd anti-codon position. Lineage: Bacteria; Pseudomonadati; Acidobacteriota; Terriglobia. The record is from RNAcentral.